RNAcentral lists this ribosomal RNA (465 nucleotides) under uncultured bacterium. RNAcentral's name for it is "partial 16S ribosomal RNA". It matches the Rfam family "Bacterial small subunit ribosomal RNA", at positions 28 to 507 of the family's 1533-position model. The record is from RNAcentral.
GACGAACGCUGGCGGCGUGCUUAACACAUGCAAGUCGAACGGUAAGGCCCCUUUGGUGGUACUCUAGUUGCGAACUGGUGAGUAACACGUGAGUAACCUGCCCUUUACUUCGUGAUAACUUCUGGCAACUGGGGCUAAUACCGGAUAGGAAUUCUUGCUGCAUGGUUGGGGUUGGAAAGCUUCGGCGGUUUUGGAUUGACUCGCGGCUUAUCAGCUUUUUUGUGGGGUUGUGGCUUACCAAGGCUUUGACGGGUAGCCGGCCUGAGAGGGCGACCGGCCACAUAGGGACUGAGAUAAGGCACAGACUGCUACGGGAGGAAGAAGUGGGGAAGAUUGAACAAUGGGCGGAAGGCUGAUGAAGAAACGCCGCGGGCGGGAUGACGGCCUUCGGGUUGUAAACCGCAUUAAGCAGGGGCGAAGCUUGUGGUGACGGUACCUGCAGAAGAAGCACCGGCUAACUACGUG